Molecule: long non-coding RNA, 267 nt
Filed under: Lathyrus oleraceus (garden pea)
Lineage: Eukaryota; Viridiplantae; Streptophyta; Magnoliopsida; Fabales; Fabaceae
Description: Pisum sativum (pea) long non-coding RNA (PSAT_LNC029533)
Source: RNAcentral
CCAACCAUACAUGGGAAUUGAGAGUUCUUGGACUUUUUGGAAAUGGGAGAACAAGAUCUUCAACUUUCAUGUUGGGCAAAAAUUCAUUUGAAGCUUGUAUCAGGAUGUAAGUCUAGGAUCAAGAAGUUUCCAUUUUUUGCAAAUUCCAAUUACAGGUCAAGUUUCUAUUUUUGGAAAUUUCUUGUCUGGCUUCAAAUUCUUCAAUGCUGAUGUUUGACAUGAUAUAUGAGGCCUAUUUGGACAUGGAUAAGCUCUCUCAAACCAAAU